Molecule: ribosomal RNA, 754 nt
Filed under: uncultured Clostridium sp.
Lineage: Bacteria; Bacillati; Bacillota; Clostridia; Eubacteriales; Clostridiaceae
Description: bacterial SSU rRNA
Rfam family: Bacterial small subunit ribosomal RNA
Source: RNAcentral
CGACNAGCCACCUAGCAUCGGGGCAUCGCAACUCAGCAGCAUCCACNNNACCAGCAUCCCACUAAAUCAGCUAGCGCGACUAUGUCGACUGCAUUCCAGCAUCAAACUAGCGAUCGCAGGGAAACAGCGAUCGACUAAAGACUAANAAGCCCCGCUAACUACGUGCCCGCAGGGGCGGUAAUACGUAGGGGGCAAGCGUUAUCCGCUUUUACUGGGUGUUUAAGGGAGCGUAGGUGGCGUGGUAAGUNAGAUGUGAAAGCCCCAGGCUCAACCCGGGAAAUGCAUUUGAAACCAUCAUGCUAGAGUGCAGGAGAGGUAAGUGGAAUUCCCGAGUGUAGGCGGUGAAAUGCGAAGAUAUUAGGAGGAACAACCAGUGGCCAAGGCGGCUUACUGGACUGUAACUGACACCGAGGCUCGAAAGCGUUGGGGGCAAACAGGAUUAGAUACCCUGGUUCCACGCCGUAAACGAUGAAUACUAGGUGUUGGGGUCAAAUAACCUUCGGUUCCCGCAGCUAACCAAUAAGUUUCCACCUGGGAAGUACGUUCGCAAGAUUUGAAAUCAAAGGAAUUGACGGGGAUACCGCACAAGCGGUGGGUCAUGUGGUUAAUUCGAAGCACGCGAAGAACUUUACCAAGCUUGACAUCCUUCCCGACCGUCCCGUAACGGGGACCUCUCUUCGGAAACAGGAGAGACAGGUGGCGGCAUGGUUGUCGUCAGCUCGUGUGGUGAGAUGUUGGUUUAAGUCCCGCCAUC